UACGUAGGGGGCAAGCGUUGUCCGGAAUUAUUGGGCGUAAAGCGCGCGCAGGCGGUUAUGUAAGUUUGAUGUUAAAGCCCGGGGCUCAACCUCGGUUCGCAUUGGAAAAUGUGUAACUUGAGUGCAGAAGAGGGAAGUGGUAUUCCAAGUGUAGCGGUGAAAUGCGUAGAUAUGUGGAGGAACACCAGUGGCGAAGGCGACUUUCUGGUCUGUAACUGACGCUGAGGCGCGAAAGCGUGGGGAGCAAACAGG
Molecule: ribosomal RNA, 252 nt
Filed under: uncultured bacterium
Lineage: Bacteria
Description: partial 16S ribosomal RNA
Rfam family: Bacterial small subunit ribosomal RNA
Source: RNAcentral